RNAcentral lists this unclassified non-coding RNA (424 nucleotides) under Hevea brasiliensis (rubber tree). The record is from RNAcentral. Lineage: Eukaryota; Viridiplantae; Streptophyta; Magnoliopsida; Malpighiales; Euphorbiaceae.
CUACUACUACUACUGCUACCUCAGGCUAUUACAAUUUACAACACCCAAGCAAGCUUUGGAUAAAAAGAAAGGCAAACGAGGUCGUCCUCGUACCGCUGUCCGAUGAUAUAUUUCACUUAUAUAUAUUUUUUCAAUUUUUUUAUGCCUCGAAAUUAAAAAAAAAAAAUCCAAAAUUUUUUAUGGUUUCUCUUUGAGCAGAGAAGCUAAUCCAGUCACCAUCUUAGCUCCUCUAUCUAUACUCUUCGGUUUGCCGGCCGGCGGCUGCCACGUCGCCGAAUCCAUUCUUUCUUUCUCAUCGUCGCCGGAAAUUUUCGUCGGCGGCGAUGAUGGAUCAGUGUCCAGCGCUGCCGUUUUCUCACCAAAGAUCAGCUCGAGUUCUCCGCAAGCGUCACUACUCUCCGUCGCAACCAAACACUCGUCUUUC